GGGGAAUAUUGGACAAUGGGCGCAAGCCUGAUCCAGCCAUGCCGCGUGGGUGAAGAAGGCCUUCGGGUUGUAAAGCCCUUUUGUUGGGAAAGAAAAGCAGCCGGCCAAUACCCGGUUGUUCUGACGGUACCCAAAGAAUAAGCACCGGCUAACUUCGUGCCAGCAGCCGCGGUAAUACGAAGGGUGCAAGCGUUACUCGGAAUCACUGGGCGUAAAGAGCACGUAGGCGGCCUUGCAAGUCAGAUGUGAAAUCCAACGGCUUAACCGUUGAACUGCAUUUGAAACUGCAAGGCUAGAGUAUGGGAGAGGUAGGUGGAAUUCUCGGUGUAGGGGUAAAAUCCGUAGAGAUCGAGAGGAAUACUCAUUGCGAAGGCGACCUGCUGGAACAUUACUGACGCUGAGGUGCGAAAGCGUGGGGAGCAAACA
Molecule: ribosomal RNA, 426 nt
Filed under: uncultured Wolinella sp.
Lineage: Bacteria; Pseudomonadati; Campylobacterota; Epsilonproteobacteria; Campylobacterales; Helicobacteraceae
Description: bacterial SSU rRNA
Rfam family: Bacterial small subunit ribosomal RNA
Source: RNAcentral